GGAAUAUUGGGCAAUGGUCGCAAGACUGACCCAGCCAUGCCGCGUGCAGGAUGACGGCCCUAUGGGUUGUAAACUGCUUUUAUCAGGGAAGAAACCCUUCUACGUGUAGAAGGCUGACGGUACCUGAGGCAUAAGCAUCGGCUAACUCCGUGACAGCAGCCGCGGUAAUACGGAGGAUCCAAGCGUUGUCCGGAUUUAUUGGGUUUAAAGGGUGCGUAGGCGGACUGAUAAGUCAGGGGUGAAAGCCGGUAGCUCAACUAUCGAAUAGCCUUUGAAACUGCCAGUCUUGAAUAUUGUUGAGGUAGGCGGAAUGUAUCAUGUAGCGGUGAAAUGCAUAGAUAUGAUACAGAACACCGAUUGCGAAGGCAGCUUACUAAGCAAUUAUUGACGCUGAGGCACGAAAGCGUGGGGAUCAAAC
Molecule: ribosomal RNA, 418 nt
Filed under: uncultured bacterium
Lineage: Bacteria
Description: bacterial SSU rRNA
Rfam family: Bacterial small subunit ribosomal RNA
Source: RNAcentral